Molecule: small nucleolar RNA, 83 nt
Filed under: Carlito syrichta (Philippine tarsier)
Lineage: Eukaryota; Metazoa; Chordata; Mammalia; Primates; Tarsiidae
Description: Small nucleolar RNA Me28S-Am2634 (ENSTSYG00000035177.1)
Source: RNAcentral
CAUGGAUUAUUAUUAUUAUAUUUUUGAGUUGGAAUCUCACUCUGUUGCCCAGGCUGCAGUGCAGUGGCAUGCUCCUGGCCACU